Molecule: ribosomal RNA, 462 nt
Filed under: uncultured bacterium
Lineage: Bacteria
Description: SSU rRNA
Rfam family: Bacterial small subunit ribosomal RNA
Source: RNAcentral
AGGAUAAACGACUGGCGGCGUGCCUAACACAUGCAAGUCGAACGUCCUACGCGCAAGCGUAGGGAGUGGCGGACGGGUGAGUAACACGUGGGCAAUCUACCUUUCGGUGAGGAAUACCGGCGAGAAAUCGCCGACAAGACCGCAUACGCUCGGGCAACCGAGCAAAGUCGCAAGACGCCGGAGGAGGAGCCUGCGCCCGAUUAGCUAGUUGGUGAGGUAAGAGCUUACCAAGGCGACGAUCGGUAGCUGGUCUGAGAGGAUGAUCAGCCACACUGGGAUUGAGAACGGCCCAGACUCCUACGGGGGGCAGCAGUGAGGAAUUUUCGUCAAUGGGGGCAACCCUGAACGAGCAACGCCGCGUGCAGGAUGACGCUUUUCGGAGUGUAAACUGCUUUUCUCGGGGAAGAGCAAGGGACGGUACCCGAGGAAUCGAGCCCCGGCUAACUACGCGCCAGCAGCCGC